GAUGAACGCUGGCGGCAGGCCUAACACAUGCAAGUCGAGCGGUAACAGGAAGAAAGCUUGCUUUCUUUGCUGACGAGCGGCGGACGGGUGAGUAAUGCCUGGGAAAUUGCCCUGAUGUGGGGGAUAACCAUUGGAAACGAUGGCUAAUACCGCAUGAUGCCUACGGGCCAAAGAGGGGGACCUUCGGGCCUCUCGCGUCAGGAUAUGCCCAGGUGGGAUUAGCUAGUUGGUGAGGUAAUGGCUCACCAAGGCGACGAUCCCUAGCUGGUCUGAGAGGAUGAUCAGCCACACUGGAACUGAGACACGGUCCAGACUCCUACGGGAGGCAGCAGUGGGGAAUAUUGCACAAUGGGCGCAAGCCUGAUGCAGCCAUGCCGCGUGUAUGAAGAAGGCCUUCGGGUUGUAAAGUACUUUCAGUCGUGAGGAAGGGGGUAUCGUUAAUAGCGGUAUUCUUUGACGUUAGCGACAGAAGAAGCACCGGCUAACUCCGUGCCAGCAGCCGCGGUAAUACGGAGGGUGCGAGCGUUAAUCGGAAUUACUGGGCGUAAAGCGCAUGCAGGUGGUUUGUUAAGUCAGAUGUGAAAGCCCGGGGCUCAACCUCGGAGUUGCAUUUGAAACUGGCAGGCUAGAGUACUGUAGAGGGGGGUAGAAUUUCAGGUGUAGCGGUGAAAUGCGUAGAGAUCUGAAGGAAUACCGGUGGCGAAGGCGGCCCCCUGGACAGAUACUGACACUCAGAUGCGAAAGCGUGGGGAGCAAACAGGAUUAGAUACCCUGGUAGUCCACGCUGUAAACGAUGUCUACUUGGAGGUUGUGGCCUUGAGCCGUGGCUUUCGGAGCUAACGCGUUAAGUAGACCGCCUGGG
RNAcentral lists this ribosomal RNA (862 nucleotides) under Vibrio sp. OP5F. RNAcentral describes it as "bacterial SSU rRNA". It matches the Rfam family "Bacterial small subunit ribosomal RNA", at positions 28 to 877 of the family's 1533-position model. The record is from RNAcentral. Lineage: Bacteria; Pseudomonadati; Pseudomonadota; Gammaproteobacteria; Vibrionales; Vibrionaceae.